CUGCGAAUGGCUCAUUAUAUAAGUUAUCGUUUAUUUGAUAGUGCCUUACUACUUGGAUAACCGUGGUAAUUCUAGAGCUAAUACAUGCUGAAAAUCCCGACUUCGGAAGGGAUGUGUUUAUUAGAUUAAAAACCAAUGCCCUCUGGGCUCCUUGGUGAUUCAUGAUAACUGUUCGAAUCGCAUGGCCUUGCGCCGGCGAUGGUUCAUUCAAAUUUCUUCCCUAUCAACUUUCGAUGUUUGGGUAUUGGCCAAACAUGGUCGCAACGGGUAACGGAGGGUUAGGGCUCGACCCCGGAGAAGGAGCCUGAGAAACGGCUACUACAUCCAAGGAAGGCAGCAGGCGCGCAAAUUACCCAAUCCCGAUCCGGGGAGGUAGUGACAAUAAAUACUGAUACAGGGCUCUUUUGGGUCUUGUAAUUGGAAUGAGUACAAUUUAAAUCCCUUAACGAGGAACAAUUGGAGGGCAAGUCUGGUGCCAGCAGCCGCGGUAAUUCCAGCUCCAAUAGCGUAUAUUAAAGUUGUUGUGGUUAAAAAGCUCGUAGUUGAACCUUGGGCCUGGCUGGCCGGUCCGCCUCACCGCGUGCACUGGUCCGGCCGGGCCUUUCCCUCUGCGGAACCCCAUGCCCUUCACUGGGUGUGGCGGGGAAGCAGGACUUUUACUUUGAAAAAAUUAGAGUGCUUCAGGCAGGCCUAUGCUCGAAUACAUUAGCAUGGAAUAAUGAAAUAGGACGCGCGGUUCUAUUUUGUUGGUUUCUGGGACCGCCGUAAUGGUUAAUAGGGACAGUCGGGGGCAUCAGUAUUCAAUCGUUAGAGGUGAAAUUCUUGGAUCGAUUGAAGACUAACUACUGCGAAAGCAUUUGCCAAGGAUGUUUUCAUUAAUCAGGAACGAAAGUUAGGGGAUCGAAGACGAUCAGAUACCGUCGUAGUCUUAACCAUAAACUAUGCCGACUAGGGAUCGGACGACGUUAAUUUUUGACGCGUUCGGCACCUUACGAGAAAUCAAA
RNAcentral lists this ribosomal RNA (1004 nucleotides) under Hevansia novoguineensis. Its description in RNAcentral is "SSU rRNA". It matches the Rfam family "Eukaryotic small subunit ribosomal RNA", at positions 87 to 1102 of the family's 1831-position model. The record is from RNAcentral. Lineage: Eukaryota; Fungi; Ascomycota; Sordariomycetes; Hypocreales; Cordycipitaceae.